AUAAUGAUACUCCCUUACAGUCAUAGUUCGAGCGUUUAAAGCGUCAAAAACAAUGAGUAAGGCUGGAAGAAAUACUUGCAGAGGUUAAAUUCCUGUGG
This is a regulatory RNA element of Clostridium cadaveris, 98 nucleotides long. It matches the Rfam family "pemK RNA". Lineage: Bacteria; Bacillati; Bacillota; Clostridia; Eubacteriales; Clostridiaceae. The record is from Rfam.